AUCGUCAGCUUGUGGGAACGGGUAGCGGGUAGGAACUCCUUUGGAGUCCCUCGGAUUCUAUUGGAUAGUCCUAUCAGGGAAAGUGAAUCAAUCCCUGCCCCCUGCAGAUUCCAGGAGCUUCCUGACCCGGGAAGCUAGCACCUGCUAAGGGUCCCUUGUCCAGGGUCACGGAUGAAGUCCAGAACGGCAUCCAAGGCGACGAAGAAUAUUUCCGGUACGGCGAAGAUGGCGGAGCUGGCAACCCUUGAUUUUAGGGAUAGUAUAAUCUCACAAACCAGUAGCGUCUGUCUCAGAGUGAGCGGCUACAAACAGCGUCUGACCCAGAGUGGGCGGCUGAAUAAGAACUCACCAACCCGCAUAGCAAGCGUGGUGUUUUAACUGCCAUUACCCCCCUCUUUUUAUCAUGGCGAAUAAUAAAACAAACGGAAAUGGUCCCCAGGUGGGUAAGGAAAUUUCUGAAUCCCACACCUCAAAGGUCUGCCUCACGGAUUCUGGGGGAGGCAAUAAUUCGCUCUUGAUAGAUAAAAACAAAAACCCACUAAGACGAACACAACAGAAACCAAGAAAAUCUAUCAAUCUGUCAAUAUGGACAUACAAUAUUAAAUCAAUGUCCACGGAUGAAAAAGUACAUGAACUGGAGGAAGAACUAAAAAAUAUAAAAUGGGAUAUCAUAGGCCUAUCGGAAACUCGAAGGAAAGAAGAAAACCGAAUACAGCUAAACUCCGGGAAUCUACUGUAUUAUAAAGGAAAUGAAAAGAAUAGUAAUUUUGGAGUAGGAUUUAUAAUAAAUAAAACCAUAAGUAAGCAUGUUCAAAUAAUCAAAGGUAUAUCAGAUCGUGUCGCCUAUGUCAUACUCAAAAUAAGAAGAACAUCAAUUAAAAUUAUCCAGGUAUAUGCCCCCACGACAGCUUAUGAUGACGAAGACAUCGAACUAUUUUAUGAAGAUAUUUCAAAGGCUAUGGAAGAACAUAAAAAUCGUCUCACACUAGUAAUAGGAGAUUUCAAUGCUAAACUGGGUAAGAAACUAAACAAAGAAGAAACUAAAAUAGGAAAUUUCGGAUACGGCCAGAGAAAUGAUAGAGGUGCUACUUUGAUGAACUACCUAGAAGAAAAGCGUCUAUACGCAAUGAACUCCUUCUACAAAAAAAAGUCCCAAAGAAAAUGGACAUGGAUCAGCCCUAAUGGGUCCACAAAAAAUGAGAUCGACUACAUACUGUCCACGGAACGAUAUAUCAUUAAAGAUGUAACAGUUCUUAACAAAUUCACAACAGGUAGCGAUCACAGGAUGGUCAGAGCAAAAAUUAAUAUCGACGGUAACUAUGAGAUGAAAAGAAAAAUAAUAAGAAACUCGGAUAUAGUAGAUAGAAACAAACUAGGGCAAUAUAAAGAGAAAUACAAAGACCUGUUAAAAGAACAAUUCACCGAAAAAUUAGACAGUGAUGAUAAAGAUAUAGACGAAAUAAACAACAUACUUACAGCAACGAUGGUUACAUCAGGAAAAGAAAUAGCAAAAAAGGAUGUUAAAAAGGACAACUAUGUAUCAGAAGAAACAAAGAAGCUUAUGGAUAAAAGAAGAAAGCUUGUCGAAGAAGGCAAAAGGAAAUCUAUAGAAUAUGUAGAAAUCAAUAAGACAAUAAGCAAAAUGAUAAAAGAAACUAAGAGAAAAGAACAAGAAAUAAAAAUAGAAGAAGUAAUACAGAACAACAAGAAUAUGAAAUGCUUAAGAACGAAACUCGGCAGAUUCGAAAUAAACAAAAUAAAAGACGUAAACGGAGUAGAAACAAACAUUAAAGACGACAUCAUAAAUAUAAUCCAACAUUUCUACUCAGAGUUAUAUAAAACAAAAAAGGGACCAUCAGAAGAAAUAAAAACCCAACUUAAGUCGAAAAUAAAAAAUGUCAAUUCAGAAUUACAGCCAGAAAUAAGCAAAUCAGAAAUAAAGAAGGCAUUGAAAGAAAUGAAAAACAACAAAUCGCCUGGAAAAGAUGGAAUAACUACAGAGAUGCUGAAAUAUGGUGGGAAAGUGGUAAUUGAUACUCUCUAUUCCCUUUUUAACAAAAUAUUAAAAGAAAAAAGAAUCCCAAACAACUGGAAGGAAUCCGUAACCAUUAUCUUACACAAGAAAGGGGACAAAGCAGAUAUAAAAAACUACCGUCCUAUAACACUCCUCAAUGUAAUGUAUAAACUCCUAACAAAAAUUUUAACCAACAGAUUGACGACAAAAUUCGACGGAUACCAAUCGAAAGAACAAGCUGGUUUUAGAAAGGGAUUUAGCACAAGUGAUCAUUUAUUAAGUAUGAAAAUCCUUAUAGAACGAGCAAAUGAAUACAACAUCCCUCUAUAUGUAGCGUUCAUAGAUUUCGAAAAGGCUUUUGACAGUGUCGAACAUUGGGCAGUGAAAAGUUCUUUGAUUAACAGCAGAAUUGACCACAGAUAUACAGACCUAAUAGCCAAUAUAUAUAAAGAUGCCACAACAACAAUUAAAGUAUACGAAGGAACACAAUCAAUUCAAAUAAAUAGAGGCGUAAGACAGGGUAACACAAUAUCACCGAAACUUUUCAAUCAGGUUCUGGAAGAUAUCUUUAAAAGAUUAGAAUGGGAAGAAAAAGGUAUAAAAAUUUGUGGACAACGCUUGAACCAUCUAAGGUACGCCGAUGACAUCGUAUUGAUAACCGAUAAAAAAGAAGAAUUGUUUGAAAUGAUGAAAGAACUGGACAUAGAAGCCGGAAAGAUAGGCCUUAAUAUGAAUUACAGCAAGACCAAAAUCAUAACAAAUACAGAUGAGGACAUCACAAUGAGGAUCGGACAAGAUGAAAUAGAACAAGUUCACGAUUAUAUAUAUCUGGGUCAAAUUAUAAAACUUAACAAGGAAAACCAAACAGCAGAGAUCAAAAGACGAGUUAGACUGGCAUGGGCGGCAUUUGGAAAACUAAGCUACAUCCUUAAAAACAAAAGAUAUCCACAACAUCUUAAGACCAAGGUAUACAAUCAAUGCGUACUCCCUGUUCUCACUUAUGGUUCACAAACGUGGACGUUUACAAAAGCAAACAUGGACAAGAUCAUAAAGACGCAAAGAGCAAUGGAAAGGCAAAUGUUGCACAUAAAACUAUUGGAUAAAAAGAGAAACGAGUGGAUAAGAGAGAAAACCAAAGUUAGGGAUGUUAGACAAGAAGUUGCAAAGUUGAAAUGGAGAUUUGCCGGACACACUAUAAGACAAAAGGAAGACCGAUGGAACAAAAUUCUCAUAAAUUGGAGACCGUGGCAAUAUAAACGAAGCAGAGGAAGACCACAAAUGAGAUGGGCAAAUGAUGUCAAGAAGCACGUUGGCUCUAGGUGGAUAACUGUAGCGACAGACAGAGAAGAAUGGAAAAGGAUUGGGGAGGCCUAUGUCCAAAGAUGGACCGAAGAAGGCUAAUUAGAUAGAUAGAGCUUGUGGGAGGUAGCAGUCGUUGAUUUUUACUGGUGGACAUGUUUCUCUGCGUAAACCACUUUUGGAUUUUAUCAAGGUUUGUCUGAAGGUUCUUUGAGGCUGAGGCCGGAUUGGUGUGGGAUGCCAAGACCGCUGUGUCAUCAGCGAAUGUUGCUACAGUGGUGGUUCUUGUUCUUGGCAGAUCAGCUGUAUAAAGGAGAAACAAUAUAGGUCCCAAGACGCUGCCUUGAGGAACGCCAGAAUAUAUUGGAUGUAAUGCACUAACUCUAAUUUUACUUAUGCUACCUGUAUUCAAGGAACAAAUUUAAAGCUUUUUCGAAAUACAUACAAUUUUGACAGUUUCCUAUGUAGUAAAUCUAUAAGGGGCCAAGUUCAAAAAACCAAAGAAAAAUGUGGAAACCGAAAUGGA
This 3839-nucleotide unclassified non-coding RNA is filed under the name Diabrotica virgifera virgifera (western corn rootworm). RNAcentral's name for it is "uncharacterized LOC114327325". The record is from RNAcentral. Lineage: Eukaryota; Metazoa; Arthropoda; Insecta; Coleoptera; Chrysomelidae.